RNAcentral lists this ribosomal RNA (253 nucleotides) under uncultured bacterium. RNAcentral describes it as "partial 16S ribosomal RNA". It matches the Rfam family "Bacterial small subunit ribosomal RNA", at positions 524 to 776 of the family's 1533-position model. The record is from RNAcentral.
UACGUAGGGGGCAAGCGUUGUCCGGAAUCAUUGGGCGUAAAGCGCGUGUAGGCGGCCAGAAAAGUCCGCUGUGAAAACUCGAGGCUCAACUUCGAGCUGUCGGUGGAAACUUUCUGGCUAGAGUCCGGAAGAGGAGAGUGGAAUUCCUGGUGUAGCGGUGAAAUGCGCAGAUAUCAGGAAGAACACCAAUGGCGAAGGCAGCUCUCUGGGACGGUACUGACGCUGAGACGCGAAAGCGUGGGGAGCGAACAGG